CCCUCCCCACCCAUGCUGCUGCCUCUGUAUCAGAGGCAGUAGCACCCGGGAGGGGAGGGAGAGGGGGAAGAGGAAGGGUAGG
This 82-nucleotide microRNA precursor is filed under the name Pelodiscus sinensis (Chinese soft-shelled turtle). RNAcentral describes it as "miRNA (ENSPSIG00000019883.1)". Lineage: Eukaryota; Metazoa; Chordata; Testudines; Trionychidae. The record is from RNAcentral.